Long non-coding RNA from Maniola jurtina (meadow brown), 192 nucleotides. RefSeq lists it as uncharacterized. The record is from RefSeq and is a predicted model, not a curated record. NCBI's taxonomy places the organism in Eukaryota, Metazoa, Arthropoda, Insecta, Lepidoptera, Nymphalidae. The transcript is spliced from 3 exons.
CUCGCUGCUUUAUUUGCGCUCGAGACUUUGAAUUCCUCGCUACGCUCAGGAUUCUAUUUUUGAACCACUUGCUUCGCCCGUGGUUCAACCUUAGAAUCCUUCGCUGGCUCGGAAUUCAAUACAAACUCUCGCGACAAAAUAACAACUUUGCAGCCUUGCAUAACAAUUAACUAUUAUUAUAAAAUGUACCCA